RNAcentral lists this ribosomal RNA (480 nucleotides) under Salmonella enterica subsp. enterica serovar Berta. RNAcentral describes it as "partial 23S ribosomal RNA". It matches the Rfam family "Bacterial large subunit ribosomal RNA", at positions 113 to 631 of the family's 2925-position model. Lineage: Bacteria; Pseudomonadati; Pseudomonadota; Gammaproteobacteria; Enterobacterales; Enterobacteriaceae. The record is from RNAcentral. RNAcentral also lists the same sequence under 1 other name.
CCCGAAUGGGGAAACCCAGUGUGAUUCGUCACACUAUCAUUAACUGAAUCCAUAGGUUAAUGAGGCGAACCGGGGGAACUGAAACAUCUAAGUACCCCGAGGAAAAGAAAUCAACCGAGAUUCCCCCAGUAGCGGCGAGCGAACGGGGAGGAGCCCAGAGCCUGAAUCAGCAUGUGUGUUAGUGGAAGCGUCUGGAAAGGCGCGCGAUACAGGGUGACAGCCCCGUACACAAAAGCGCAUGUGCUGUGAGCUCGAUGAGUAGGGCGGGACACGUGGUAUCCUGUCUGAAUAUGGGGGGACCAUCCUCCAAGGCUAAAUACUCCUGACUGACCGAUAGUGAACCAGUACCGUGAGGGAAAGGCGAAAAGAACCCCGGCGAGGGGAGUGAAAAAGAACCUGAAACCGUGUACGUACAAGCAGUGGGAGCACAGGUUUACCUGUGUGACUGCGUACCUUUUGUAUAAUGGGUCAGCGACUUAU